ACUGCAGUCGACGCGAAAGUUCCCUUCGGGGAGCAAGUAGAGUGGCGCACGGGUGAGUAACACGUAGGUAAUCUACCUUCGGAUGGGGAAUAACAACCGGAAACGGUUGCUAAUACCGCAUAAUGCAGCGGCACCUAAUGGUGACAGUUGUUAAAGCGGGGGAUCGCAAGACCUCGCGUCUGGAGAGGAGCCUGCGGCGGAUUAGCUUGUUGGUGAGGUAAUGGCUCACCAAGGCUGUGAUCCGUAGCCGGCCCGAGAGGGCGGUCGGCCACACUGACACUGACAUACGGGUCAGACUCCUACGGGAGGCAGCAGUCGGGAAUUUUGGGCAAUGGGCGAAAGCCUGACCCAGCAACGCCGCGUGAANGGAUGAAAUCCCUCGGGAUGUAAACUUCGCAAGAACGGGAAGAAUAAGUGGGAGUUAAUAUCUCUCGCGAUGACGGUACCGUUUGUAAGCUCCGGCUAACUCCGUGCCAGCAGCCGCGGUAAUACGGGGGGAGCAAGCGUUGUUCGGAUUUACUGGGCGUAAAGGGCGCGUAGGCGGCCACCGCAAGUCGAUUGUGAAAUCUCCGGGCUUAACCCGGAAAGGUCAACCGAUACUGCGGGGCUAGAGUGCGGAAGGGGCAACUGGAAUUCUUGGUGUAGCGGUGAAAUGCGUAGAUAUCAAGAGGAACACCUGCGGCGAAGGCGGGUUGCUGGGCCGACACUGACGCUGAUGCGCGAAAGCUAGGGGAGCGAACGGGAUUAGAUACCCCGGUAGUCCUAGCCUUAAACGAUGAAUGCUUGGUGUCUGGGGUUUUAUAGUCCCCGGGUGCCGUCGCUAACGCUUUAAGCAUUCCGCCUGGGGAGUACGGUCGCAAGACUGAAACUCAAAGGAAUUGACGGGGACCCGCACAAGCGGUGGAGCAUGUGGUUUAAUUCGACGCAACGCGAAGAACCUUACCUGGGCUAGAAUGCCUCUGACAACCUUAGAGAUAGGGCCUUCUGGGUAAAACCAGACAGAGUGCAAGGUGCUGCAUGGCUGUCGUCAGCUCGUGUCGUGAGAUGUUGGGUUAAGUCCCGCAACGAGCGCAACCCUUAUCAAUAGUUGCCAGCGGUUCGGCCGGGCACUCUAUUGAGACUGCCGUUGACAAAACGGAGGAAGGUGGGGAUGACGUCAAGUCCUCAUGGCCUUUAUGUCCAGGGCUACACACGUGCUACAAUGGCCGGUACAAAGCGCUGCAAGCCUGCAAGGGGGAGCCAAUCGCAAAAAACCGGUCUCAGUUCGGAUUGGAGUCCGCAACUCGACUCCAUGAAGCUGGAAUCGCUAGUAAUCGCAGAUCAGC
RNAcentral lists this ribosomal RNA (1325 nucleotides) under uncultured Acidobacteriota bacterium. RNAcentral describes it as "bacterial SSU rRNA". It matches the Rfam family "Bacterial small subunit ribosomal RNA", at positions 53 to 1353 of the family's 1533-position model. Lineage: Bacteria; Pseudomonadati; Acidobacteriota. The record is from RNAcentral.